Populus trichocarpa (black cottonwood) is the source of this 5098-nucleotide RNA transcript. It is a transcript of the gene named MAP3K epsilon protein kinase 1, with no coding region annotated. The record is from RefSeq and is a predicted model, not a curated record. Lineage: Eukaryota; Viridiplantae; Streptophyta; Magnoliopsida; Malpighiales; Salicaceae. The transcript is spliced from 25 exons.
AUUCCGUCAUUGAAAAAGCAGACACUCUCACUAACACGCCCAUAGUUUCUCUCUCGCUCGUAUGUCGCCGGAGCUGAGGCUUCCGUAAACGUUAUCCGGCUGGAGAAUACGGUUAUUUUGUUUCUGAAUUCCCGAAAUGGAGAGUCUCUAGGAUUUUCUUAAGCAAAAGCGUGUUCCAUUUUUGACAAGAAGAGAUGUCUCGGCAAACGCCAUCGUCUCAUUUUCUUAAAUCGAAGACUCUCGAUAACAAAUAUAUGCUUGGAGAUGAGAUUGGAAAAGGAGCGUAUGGUCGAGUGUAUAAAGGUUUGGAUUUGGAGAAUGGGGAUUUUGUUGCAAUUAAACAAGUUUCCUUGGAGAAUAUUGCCCAAGAGGAUCUUAAUAUCAUCAUGCAAGAGAUAGAUUUACUGAAGAAUUUGAACCAUAAAAACAUUGUGAAAUAUCUCGGAUCAUCGAAGACAAAGACUCAUCUUCACAUAAUCCUUGAGUAUGUUGAGAAUGGCUCGCUUGCAAACAUUAUCAAGCCAAAUAAAUUCGGGCCUUUUCCAGAGUCUUUGGUGGCUGUUUACAUUGCCCAGGUUCUGGAAGGAUUAGUUUAUUUGCAUGAACAGGGUGUUAUCCAUCGAGAUAUCAAGGGUGCAAACAUAUUGACGACCAAAGAGGGCCUUGUGAAACUUGCUGAUUUUGGUGUUGCAACAAAAUUAACUGAAGCUGAUGUUAAUACACAUUCAGUUGUUGGAACGCCAUAUUGGAUGGCCCCAGAGGUUAUUGAAAUGUCAGGGGUUUGUGCCGCUUCUGACAUCUGGAGUGUUGGCUGCACCGUGAUUGAACUUCUUACAUGUGUACCACCUUACUAUGAUUUGCAGCCAAUGCCAGCUCUCUUUCGUAUUGUUCAGGAUGAUAAUCCUCCGAUACCUGAUAGCUUAUCUCCUGACAUUACAGACUUUCUGCGCCAGUGCUUCAAGAAGGAUGCUACGCAGCGGCCCGAUGCAAAAACACUACUUUCUCAUCCUUGGAUACUGAAUUCUAGGCGUGCAUUGAACUCUUUCCGUCAUAGUGGAUCAAUAAGAAGCAUACAGGAAGAUGUUUCAGUCGAUGCGGUAAUUUUAAAUGGAGAUAAUCAGAGUACUGGCCAAAUUAGUUCUGUGGAUAAAACAGAAGCUUCUGUUGCUGAUUUUGAAGCUGUUUCCAGGAAAGAAUUAUUGACAGUGUCUGAUGAUGUCAGUAAGUCUUGUAAGGAUAAUUCCUCAAAUGAUGAAGUCGAGGAAAGAGCUGAUAAAUUAGACAAUGAUCUCCAUUCAGAUCAAGUCCCGACCCUAGCUAUUCAUGAAAAUUCAUCUCUCAAAACUAGUUCUGGCAGACUAUCUAUGAAUAAAGUAGCUGCUGCUUGUGCUCCGCUUCAUGGGUCAGCACAUAUGCAUGACCAGGAUCAGGCUCUGAGUAAUUGUGACAUGGAAUCUCCUGAUGCAAGAGGGAAAAACAUAGAUAGAAGGGAUGGGGGAAAAACAAAUUCUACUCAUGUUGAGAAUGGAUCAUUUGGUUUUGCAACAAGAAGUCAAGAUAAUGGGCUUCAAAAGGCUGUGAAGACAUCAAUGAACUUGGGAGGAAAUGAGCUCAGUAAAUUUAGUGACACUCCAAGAGAUGCUUCACUGGAUGAUUUAUUUCAUCCCCUCAAUAAAAAUCCAGAGGAUCGGGCAGCUGAAGCCUCAACAUCUGCCUCAACAUCACAUAUGAACCAAGGGAAUGCUGUUGUGGCUGAUGCAGGGAAAAAUGAUCUGGCUACAAGGUUGAGAGCUACAAUUGCUCAAAAACAAAUGGAGAAUGAAAUGGGGAAGACAAACGGUGGUGGUGAUUUGUUUAGCCUAAUGAUGGGUGUUCUGAAGGAUGGUGUGAUUGAUAUUGAUGGUUUGGUUUUUGAUGAAAAAUUGCCUCCAGAAAAUCUCUUUCCUCUCCAGGCUGUUGAGUUUAGCAGGUUAGUUGGGUCGUUAAGACCUGAGGAAUCAGAAGAGGUGAUUGUAUCUGCAUGCCAGAAACUUAUUAGCAUCUUUCACCAGCGCCCUGAGCAGAAAAUUGUUUUUAUUACCCAGCAUGGAUUGCUUCCUCUAAUGGAAUUACUUGAAGUUCCUAAAACUCGUGUUAUAUGUUCUGUCCUCCAACUUAUAAAUCAGAUUGUGAAAGAUAAUACCGAUUUCCAGGAAAAUGCAUGUCUUGUUGGCCUGAUCCCUGUGGUCAUGGGUUUUGCUGGACCUGAUCGCCCCCGUGAGGUUCGCAUGGAGGCAGCUUAUUUCUUGCAGCAGCUAUGCCAGUCAAGCUCGUUGACAUUGCAAAUGUUCAUUGCUUGCCGUGGAAUACCUAUCCUGGUGGGUUUUCUAGAGGCUGAUCAUGCUAAGUACAGGGACAUGGUUCACCUAGCUAUUGAUGGCAUGUGGCAGGUCUUUAAGCUUCAGAGAUCAACCCCAAGAAAUGAUUUCUGUCGCAUAGCUGCGAAAAAUGGAAUACUGUUCAGACUUAUCAACACUCUUUAUAGCUUGAAUGAGGCAACUAGGCUAGCUUCAAUAUCCAUGGGAACUGGAUUCCCACUAGAUGGUUUAGCUCAACGACCACGAUCUGGUCCCUUGGAUUUCAAUCAUCCUAUUUUCAUUCAGAGCGAGCCACCACUUUCUGCAUCUGAUCAGCCUGAUAUCCUUAAAUUUAGGCAUGGAAUGAUCGAUCAUCCCUUGCCUUCUGUGACACAAGAACCAUCACGUGCUUCAACUUCACAUUCCCAAAGGCUGGAUGCCAUUCAACCAGAUGCCAGAUAUCUUGGGACAGACACUGAUGGGCCUCAAUCUAGUAAUGAAGCAAUCGAAGCUACAGUUGCUUCCAAGUUGCCAGAUCCAGCAGCUUUAGGAAAAGCUGCAAAUAUGGGUAUCAAAGAACCUCCAGGAAUUGCUUCUAAAGAGCGGGAUAACUUGGAUCGGUGGAAAAGUGAUCCAUCACGCCCAGAAACUGAACUUAGGCAGCAGCGAGUCACUGGUUCCACGCAAAGGACAUCUACUGAUAGGCCUCCAAAGUUGAUAGAAAGUGCAUCAAACGGUCUUACUUCUGUGGUAUCUGCUCAGCCAGAGCAAGUUCGUCCUCUUCUAAGCUUGCUGGAGAAGGAACCCCCUUCUAAGCAUUUCUCUGGUCAGUUGGAGUAUGCACGUCACCUCUCAGGGUUGGAGAGACAUGAAAGUAUACUGCCUUUAUUACAUGGAUCUGAGAAGAAAACAAAUGGUGAAUUGGAUUUUCUGAUGGCAGAGUUUGCAGAGGUUUCUGGGCGUGGAAGAGAAAAUGGAAAUCUAGACUCCAUGCCUAGAAUUUCACAUAAAACAGUGAGUAAGAAGGUUGGACCAGUUGCACCUAAUGAAGGAGCUGCUUCCACAUCUGGUAUUGUAUCUCAAACAGCAUCUGGUGUAUUGUCUGGUUCGGGUGUUCUAAAUGCUAGACCUGGGAGUGCAACAUCAUCUGGGUUACUUUCCCAGAUGGUAUCAGCAGAGGUUGCGAGGGAAUACCUGGAGAAAGUGGCGGACCUUCUGCUCGAGUUUUCUCAAGCUGACACAACUGUAAAAUCCUACAUGUGUAGCCAAAGCUUGCUUAGCCGUCUUUUUCAGAUGUUCAAUAGAAUUGAGCUCCCUAUUCUUUUAAAGAUACUUAAGUGUAUCGAUAAUCUGUCAACUGACCCAAACUGCUUAGAGAAUCUUCAGCGAGCAGAUGCAAUUAAGUACUUGAUUCCAAAUCUUGAACUCAAAGAUGGACCUCUUGUAGAUCAAAUUCAUAGUGAGGUCCUCAAUGCACUUUUUAACCUCUGCAAGAUAAAUAAGAGGAGACAGGAACAAGCUGCUGAAAAUGGAAUCAUUCCACACUUAAUGAAUUUUAUUAUGUCUGAUUCUCCUUUGAAAUCGCAUGCAUUACCUCUACUGUGUGACAUGGCUCAUGCAUCACGUAAUUCAAGAGAACAAUUAAGGGCCCAUGGUGGAUUGGAUGCAUACUUGAGCCUACUUGAUGAUGUGGUUUGGUCAGUGACAGCACUAGAUUCAAUUGCUGUUUGCUUGGCUCAUGACAAUGACAACCACAAAGUGGAACAGGCAUUGCUAAAAAAGGAUGCAGUUCAGAAAUUAGUGAAGUUUUUCCAAUGCUGCCCCGAACAACAAUUUGUGCAUAUAUUGGAGCCAUUCUUGAAAAUUAUCACGAAAUCAUCCCGGAUAAAUACAACUUUAGCUGUUAAUGGCUUGACACCUCUGCUCAUUGCAAGACUGGAUCAUCAAGAUGCCAUAGCUCGUCUUAAUCUGCUCAAACUAAUAAAGGCUGUGUAUGAGCACCACCCACGUCCAAAGCAAUUGAUCGUGGAGAAUGACUUGCCCCAAAAACUUCUGAACUUGAUCGAGGAACGUAGGGACGGGCAAAGCUCCGGAGGCCAAGUGUUAGUGAAACAAAUGGCUACUUCGCUACUUAAAGCACUUCAUAUAAACACUGUUCUGUAAAUUCGUGUCUCACAGUUUCUUUUCAAAAUGUACAUGGUUUUUUAGGAAAUUUUAUUUGUUAGAUUUUUUCCCCAUUAAAAAUAUGGUUUGCUUGUGUGUGUAUGCUUGCAAUCAUGUGGAUGCAACAAGUUUUAGGAGGGUGUUCUACUUAUCCAGGAGGUCUCAGAAACUCGAGAGUUCCAAAGGGUGGCUGUCUUUUUGCAUUAGCGAGCUACCAGGAUUUCUUCCGUGGAAUAAUUUGACUGCUCAAAGUGGCUAUAACAGCUGCUUUUUAUAUGGUGGCCUCUCUCACGUAAUUGUCUCGUGCCCCCCACCCCCAACUUGCUUUUGCGAUCUAGUUUUUAACAUUUGGGAUUUUUACUGGGUCCUGGGUGGGUGAUGCAGGAGGUUGAAGUUCUCAGGGAAUUUUUUUUUUUUAAUUUAGAAAAUUAAGUAAUAUAUUUAAUAAUUUUGUUUUUUCUAGUUUAUUUUGAACUUUUAUUUUUAGAUAUUUAAGUUUGUUUUGGUUGGAUUUUGAGUCAAUUUAAGGAGUUGUAAAUCUCUUAAGAGAUAGACUCCUUGAAGAUAAAUAUUUAAUAGCAAAAUUAUAAAUUUCAUCA